This is a long non-coding RNA of Passer domesticus (house sparrow), 1289 nucleotides long. RefSeq lists it as uncharacterized. The record is from RefSeq and is a predicted model, not a curated record. Lineage: Eukaryota; Metazoa; Chordata; Aves; Passeriformes; Passeridae. The transcript is spliced from 2 exons.
UUUUCUGGGAAGCGUUCUGCAGCGUUGCAUCCCCCCGCACUGCCCCAGAGCAGGGUGAGGACACUGGGGCUGUGGAACAGCAGGUCCCAGUUCAUUCUCUCACUGCUGCAGGAGCUGGAGGCUGUGUGGCACGGCUGGUACAUGGAGAGAAGCCAUCCCACAGCUCCCGCGAUGCCCGGGCUGCGCAGGGAUGAGUCUGGCACACCUGUCAAGGGGACCCCAUCGGCAAGUGGGGAAGAGGAGCACCCUCCAAGCAGCCAGGUCCUGCUCCCAUAAGAGCACCCAGGAAGUCUGGUGGGAUUAGCUCAAGGAAUCUCCUGUCCCUGCACCUGACAGGAGAAGCCAGAGAGCUGGGCAGAAGAGGAGGCAAGCCAGUCGCUUCUCAGGGCCCUGAUCUACCACCAUGUUUCCUGUCCAGGCUUUCUGCCCUUGGACCUUUCUCCUCAAGCUUUGUUUUAUUGUGUACAGUUCCUAGAAUGGACUGGAGACCUGACUCUGGAACAUCCCUGAUGAAGGGCAAAGCCCAGCACGCCAUUCCAUGUUGCUCCAGUGGGGCCCUGGUGCAGCCACCUGGUCCCCAGUGCUGAACCCAGCUGGGUGCCCACCACCUCCAUGCCCAGCACUACCUAGCUGGACUUCCACCCCGUCCCAACACCGAGGCAGGAGCCACAAGAGCACAGGAGGAUCCAUCCAGCUCUGAAUGCUGCCAUGAGAGAUGAGCCAGAACUGCCUGCCUUGCCUCCAACAAUCUUUUAAAUCCUCCCAGGGCUGGUGACUCCAGCAUUGCCUGGGCAGCCUGUGCCAGUGCUUGACAACUCAUUCAGUUGAGAAAUUUUUCUCUAGUAUCCAGUCUAACCCUUCCCUGGCACCACUUGAGGCUGUUUCCUGUUGUCCUACCACCCAGGACUUCAUCCAGUGGCAGGGACUGUGUGAGCCAGUGUCAGGAGAGAACCAGGGACUGAUGGAGGCACCAGACACAGCCCGAGUUGUGCUGGGGAAUAUUUUGGCCUGGAAUUACUGACUAAAAAUGUUUUCAUGGGGUGUCACAAAGCACUUCAUCACUGGGGGAGGCUUUUGGGGUAACCAUGGUGCAGCGGCUCUGGGUUCGUCGGCGAAGCUGCAUCCGGGCCAGCCAGGAGCCCAUAGGAAUCCAAAAGCAGCCCCUCCACCCACUGGGAGGGAGCUGGAACAAAGGCAUUAGGGAGCAUAAGGAGAUUUACAUUUGCAAAGCUAUUUCCAUUUUAAUAAGCCAAAGCGCUGUUAAAUAGAGAUUGAUAUUUCUCCCCAAA